UACGGGGGAUGCGAGCGUUGUCCGGAUUCACUGGGCGUAAAGGGCGCGUAGGCGGAUAGUUUAGUCAGAGGUGAAAGCCCAGGGCUCAACCUUGGAAUUGCCUUUGAUACUGGCUAUCUUGAGUACGGGAGAGGUGUGUGGAACUCCGAGUGUAGAGGUGAAAUUCGUAGAUAUUCGGAAGAACACCAGUGGCGAAGGCGACACACUGGCCCGUUACUGACGCUGAGGCGCGAAAGCGUGGGGAGCAAACAGG
This 253-nucleotide ribosomal RNA is filed under the name uncultured bacterium. RNAcentral describes it as "partial 16S ribosomal RNA". It matches the Rfam family "Bacterial small subunit ribosomal RNA", at positions 524 to 776 of the family's 1533-position model. The record is from RNAcentral.